AACGAACGCUGGCGGCGCGUCUUAAGCAUGCAAGUCGAACGGCAAGAGGAAAGCUUGCUUUUCUCCUAGAGUGGCGGACUGGUGAGUAACACGUGGGUGACGAACCCUCCUGACAGGGAUAGCUGGUAGAAAUAUCAGAUAAUACCGGAUACGAACUCUAUAGUUAGAGUAUAGAGAGGAAAGGUGCUUUGGCACCGCAGGGGGAUCGGCUCGCGGCCUAUCAGCUAGUUGGCAGGGUAAAGGCCUGCCAAGGCGACGACGGGUAUCCGGCCUGAGAGGGUGGACGGACACAUUGGGACUGAGAUACGGCCCAGACUCCUACGGGAGGCAGCAGCUAAGAAUAUUCCGCAAUGGGCGAAAGCCUGACGGAGCGACGCCGCGUGGACGAUGAAGGCCGAAAGGUUGUAAAGUCCUUUUGAACCUGAAGAAUAAGUUUAAGAGGGAAUGCUUAAGCGGUGACAGAAAGGUUUGAAUAAGCAACGGCUAAUUACGUGCCAGCAGCCGCGGUAACACGUAAGUUGCGAGCGUUGUUCGGAAUUAUUGGGCGUAAAGGGCAUCUAGGCGGUCAUUCAAGCUUGGUGUGAAAUACCGGGGCUUAACUCCGGGGCUGCAUUGAGAACUGGAUGACUGGAGUCACUGAAGGGCAACCAGAAUUCCAGGUGUAGGGGUGAAAUCUGUAGAUAUCUGGAAGAAUACCAAUGGCGAAGGCAGGUUACCGGCAGAUGACUGACGCUGAAGUGCGAAGGUGCGGGGAGCAAACAGGAUUAGAUACCCUGGUAGUCCGCACAGUCAACAUGUACACUCGGUGUCCGGCCAAGAGGCUGGGUGCCAAAGCAAACGCGAUAAGUGUACCGCCUGGGGAGUAUGCCCGCAAGGGUGAAACUCAAAGGAAUUGACGGGGGCCCGCACAAGCGGUGGAGCAUGUGGUUUAAUUCGAUGGUACGCGAGGAACCUUACCUGGGUUUGACAUACACAGCGAUCAUAUAGAGAUAUGUGAGCGUAGCAAUACGGCUGUGAGCAGGUGCUGCAUGGCUGUCGUCAGCUCGUGCCGUGAGGUGUUGGGUUAAGUCCCGCAACGAGCGCAACCCCUACUGCCAGUUACCAGCAUGUAAAGAUGGGGACUCUGGCGGAACUGCCGGUGACAAACCGGAGGAAGGUGGGGAUGACGUCCAGUCAUCAUGGCCCUUAUGUCCAGGGCAACACACGUGCUACAAUGGUCGCGACAGAGUGAAGCGAAGUCGAGAGGCGAAGCAAAACGCACAAAAGCGAUCGUAGUCCGGAUUGGAGUCUGAAACCCGACUCCAUGAAGUUGGAAUCGCUAGUAAUCGCACAUCAGCACGGUGCGGUGAAUACGUUCCCGGGCCUUGUACACACCGCCCGUCACACCAUCCGAGUAGAGGAUACCCGAAGCCAGUGGUUCAACCGCAAGGAGGGCGCUGUCGAAGGUAUGCUUUGUA
Molecule: ribosomal RNA, 1457 nt
Filed under: uncultured Treponema sp.
Lineage: Bacteria; Pseudomonadati; Spirochaetota; Spirochaetia; Treponematales; Treponemataceae
Description: bacterial SSU rRNA
Rfam family: Bacterial small subunit ribosomal RNA
Source: RNAcentral